UCCAGGGAUGGUGAAUCGAACCCACAAUGUUCCGCUUACCGGGAAGAUGCCAUGUCCACUAGGCUACCCCUGU
RNAcentral lists this transfer RNA (73 nucleotides) under Cordylochernes scorpioides. RNAcentral describes it as "tRNA-Thr". The record is from RNAcentral. Lineage: Eukaryota; Metazoa; Arthropoda; Arachnida; Pseudoscorpiones; Chernetidae.